AAUCAGAAUUUCAAUUCAUUCACAUUGUCAAUAUGUAUAUCAAUAGACUCGGAGGUUAAAUUUUCCUUCCUUCUAUCGACGCAGUUUCCCCCCAUAUUUUUCAACGGGGGUUUGGGGGCAGCGCCCCCAAGGUGGGGUCAAUGGGCCAAAAAAACUUAUUCUUUAAUAAAGGCGUUGGGUGUUAUUUUUCUAUUGACUCACUGAGUUUGGCUAUUUUCUAAUCUCUGUGUCAAAAUGCCCAAAGGCUACACUGCUGCCAUAUAAUUUCAUUGUCAAAAUUAUGAAUAAAAUUAAUAAAUUUAAAAUUUAAUUAAUGUUAUCUUUUAAUUUUUUUAAUUUUUAAUAACAAUUUGAAUUAAUAAGGGGCCUACAUUAGAAAAUUUAAAUAAAAAAUUGAAAAUACAACUUUUUUAAUUUUUUAAUAUUUUUUAAGGGCCUUAGAUAUGGGGGACGUCUGGCUGUCCCCGGGACGGAUUGGGGACGUCCCAGCCAUCCCCGGGACGUAUGGACGUCCCCCAGAGCUAGGGCAGGCGUCCCCCUGUUUCGGGGACGCCCCCUCAAAAUACAGGCCAAUUUGGGGACGGGGGGAAACGUCCCCUGGCCAUCCCCAAGUCCCCGAAACGUCCCCGGGACAGGGACGGGGGUUUUCAGGUCAGGGACGCGUCCCUGGGUAGCUCUGUUAUAACUAUAAUUUUGACUUGGCCUAUUGAGCUAAUAUUUAACUGUUGCUUUAUUCCCUACGAGGCACUGAUAUUUGUGAUGGAUCCUGGAAGAUGUGUAUAAAUCUAUUUAGUAGGUGUAUGUGCAUGUAGGCUUGCUUAAUACAUUUUAAUAUUUUACUGAAAUGCAUCCUAGGGCCUACUAAUUGUGAUAACACACAUAGUGUAACUCAUAAUAUUCUUCUUGUGGGAGGUUUAUAAAUAGGAGCUUUGUGCCUUUAGCAAUUUAUAAAAAGGCCGUGAUAAGUGAUUCUGAUGUGUUGUAUAAUUUAUUACUGGCAUCUCUCUAUUGUGUUAUUGUAAUAUAAUGAUGCUUAGAUGAAUGUUAUCCAAUGGUGGAUUAGAGUAGUUGAUGUUUGUUUCUUCCAUAAAUCUUUGUUAAAUUUAAGGAGAUUCACAUUUGGUUCUAACAUGGUUCUAGAGUGUUAGGGUUACCGCUUGAAGCUUUUGAAGCAUUUUGGAGAGAUCUACGUCUACAGGGCUGGAAGGAGCAUUAAGAGUUUGGGGAAAUUUUCAAUUUUUUGAACUGAGGCCAAAUCUUUCUCAUCUGUUUGAUCUAGUUAUAGAUCUGGUGGCAGGAAGGCUAGGGAUCAAACAAAGAGCUCCAACUCUUUACACUUUGGGAGUAAUUGAGUGUUGAGGAGGGGUAGAUUGCAAACAAAGGUUCUAGGUUGUGAUGCUGGGGCAGCAACUUUUUGUUUCUCAUAAUAAAUUAAAGAAAUGUUAGCUGGUGGUGGCACUUCAAGCAGUGCUACUAAUAUCACACUUUUGCAAGUGAAGACUCAAGCUAGCUGGGCCGCUUCACAGGCCUUUGAGGAAUACUUGGAGGAAGGCUAUCAAGCUAAACUGGUGUGGUUGGGCAUUGUGUGCGAGGAUAACAUUGACGGGAGCAUAUGGAGCUUGAAGGCAUGUAAACAAUAGUUUUCCAUGUAAGAAGAUGCAUCAAGUGAAUCUUUCAAGUGGAAGGUAGGAAUGUGUAGAAAUGGGCAUGUGGGCCUAGGUUUUGAAGGAGUAAAGGAUGAGUUUUAGGCUAUGCAGAAGUUGUGAAGGAGCAUGUGGAAUUUUUGUGAAGGGUGACUAAAGGAGGUGUGUGAAGUCAGGUUGUGGCAUUUAACCACAUGAGAAAAUGUGACAGGUUACAGGUGAUGUAAGGAGUGUACUGUGCAGUGUAAGCAUAAAGGGCUGACAUAAUAACAUAUAGUACUCAUGAUAGGAGCAGUGUGUGCGUGGAGACAAGCAAAGGUAGGAAUCUAGAACAACAUAUGGGAGAAUCCCCAAGAGUGGACUAUAACAGUGCAGUAAGAGGAUGCGUGGAGUGGCAUUGCACCAAGAAGUUAAAGGAGCUCAAAAGAGUACUUAAGGCAAGUGAUAGGGAAAGGGUGGGGGGUAACUUUAAGGCACCACAACAAACAUAUGAUGAUGUAUUAGAGACCGUAAGUUUCAUUUUUAACACAAAUGGGUGAUAAAUUUUUUAAAGCAAUUCAACUCGCUGAUAUAGGUUAUGGGUUCAAUUCCAAUUAUGUUUAUUUUAUAAAGGAGGUGACUUUUUUUGUUAUUAAUCAUUUGAAUAGGAGGAAAAGUGGUAUAAAAAGGUUGGUAGGACAAAUCUUUGAACCAAGAACUGUUCAGCAAUGUGGUUUUUGUGUCACCAUUCAAAUCAAUCUGUUAUAAGUUACA
Molecule: long non-coding RNA, 2396 nt
Organism: Cryptomeria japonica (Japanese cedar)
Lineage: Eukaryota; Viridiplantae; Streptophyta; Pinopsida; Cupressales; Cupressaceae
Exons: 2
Source: RefSeq, a predicted model, not a curated record